This 297-nucleotide ribosomal RNA is filed under the name uncultured bacterium. RNAcentral's name for it is "partial 16S ribosomal RNA". It matches the Rfam family "Bacterial small subunit ribosomal RNA", at positions 333 to 627 of the family's 1533-position model. The record is from RNAcentral.
CUCUUCCUACGGGAGGCAGCAGUGAGGAAUAUUGGUCAAUGGGCUUACGCCUGAACCAGCCAAGUCGCGUGAGGGAAGACUGCCCUAUGGGUUGUAAACCUCUUUUGUCAGGGAGCAACGCCGGCUACGUGUAGCCGGACUGAGAGUACCUGCAGAAAAAGCAUCGGCUAACUCCGUGCCAGCAGCCGCGGUAAUACGGAGGAUGCGAGCGUUAUCCGGAUUUAUUGGGUUUCAAGAGUGCGUAGGCGGAAUGCCAAGUCAGCGGUAAAAACGCGGGGCUCAACCUCCCUCCGCCGU